AUGAAUGAUAUGUUAUGCAAGCCGUAUUCUGAAGAGGAAAUCUCUAACGCCAUGUUCCAGAUCGGUCCCCUAAAAGCGUCGGGCUAUGACGGUCUGCCUGCCAGGUUCUUUCAGCAUAACUGGGCACUGCUAAAGGUGGAAAUUGUUGCUGCCGUCCGCGAAUUUUUUGUGACUGGUAUUAUGCCGGAAGGGGUUAAUGACACGACUAUUGUGCUAAUUCCGAAGGUCCCUCACCCUAAGGACCUGAAAGAUUUUUGGCCAAUAAGCUUGUGUAAUGUCAUCUACAAGAUUUUCUCGAAGUGUAUGGUGAAUAGAUUGCGGCCUAUUCUGACAGAGCUUAUUUCAGAAAACCAAAGCACCUUCAUCCCUGGGAGGCUAAUCACUGACAACUCCAUAAUAGCAUUUGAGUGUCUCCAUCACAUUCAGAUUGCGAGAAACAAUGCCCCAAGUCUAUGUGCAUACAAGCUUGAUUUAUCUAAAGCCUAUGAUCGGGUGGAUUGGUCUUUUUUGGAGAGAGCCCUGGCUAGGUGGGGAUUUUUAGAGCUAUGGAUUUCUCGUGUUAUGGCAUGUGUGUCCUCCGUCAAGUAUUCAGUGAAAUUUAAUGGCAAAUUAUUGGAGUCCUUCUCCCCGUCUAGGGGACUCCACCAAGGUGAUCCCUUGUCCCCUUUUCUCUUCUUAUUUGUUGCUAAUGCCCUGUCUUUAUUGAUGGAGAAGGCUGCAAGAGAGGACGGGCUCAAGGGUGUUACGAUUUGUAGAGGGGGCCCAGAGAUCACACACCUCUUAUUUGCGGAUGACUCCCUCUUGUUCUUCCAUGCUACGCAACAGCAGGCAUUGUUAGUGAAAGGAGUGUUGAACACGUUUGCGGCGGCAACUGGACAACUUAUAAACCCGUUGAAGUGUUCCAUUCUAUUCUCAGGCCAACACCCAUCCGAUGUGGUAUAA
RNAcentral lists this ribosomal RNA (942 nucleotides) under Triticum aestivum (bread wheat). Its description in RNAcentral is "partial small subunit ribosomal RNA". The record is from RNAcentral. Lineage: Eukaryota; Viridiplantae; Streptophyta; Magnoliopsida; Poales; Poaceae.